CCUCCCCUGUCCGCCCAAGGCUCAAUAACAAAUUCGCCCAGCACUACAACAAAUUCAUGAUUUAGCGGCAUUUACUCCGCAGCAUUUAUUUAAAUAACGCUAAUUAAUAUAUUUAACAGCAUUACUUGAUAAGUGCCGCUAGAUUUAAAAAUUUAGCAGCAAUUUACUAUUAAUGUUGUAAAAUAGAAUAAAUUAGCAGCAUAAAUUAGUGAAUGCCGGUGAAGUUUCCAGCAUUUUAUAAAAAAUGAUACUAAAUGCAAUAAAGUAGCAACGCUUAUUGCUAAAUGCCGCAAUAUUUGCUCCGCAACAUUUAUUUAAAUCACGCCAAUUAAUAUAUUUAGCAGCAUUAC
This 350-nucleotide long non-coding RNA is filed under the name Ananas comosus (pineapple). RNAcentral's name for it is "long non-coding RNA (ACOM_LNC042624)". The record is from RNAcentral. Lineage: Eukaryota; Viridiplantae; Streptophyta; Magnoliopsida; Poales; Bromeliaceae.